AAGCGGAAAGAAGGGCGCACGGAGGAUGCCUAGACACACAAUGGCUAUGAAGGACGUGGCGUGACUGCGAUAAGCUUCGGGGAGGCGUUGAGCAGCCUGUGAUCCGGAGAUGUCCGAAUGGGGCAACCCACUAUGGCGAACCCAUAGUAUCUCGCGCAAGCGAGAAGCUAACCUGGCGAAGUGAAACAUCUCAGUAGCCAGAGGAAAAGAAAUCGAAGAGAUCCCCUUAGUAGCGGCGAGCGAAAAGGGAGUAGCCCAAACCUGUUGUUCAGCAAUGAGCGGCGGGGGUUAUAGGGAUAGGACGCUGAAUCUCAACUAUCUACGGCAGCUUCGGCUGACGGCGAUAGUUGAUAUUCUAAGAAGUUACAAAUUCGAAUGUUAGGAGAACGGUCCUGGAACGGCCGGCCAAAGAAGAUGAAAGCUCUGUAACCGAAAAUAUUCGAACUUCUGUCUUGUUACCUGAGUAGCCCGGGAUAAGAAUGUCCUGGGUGAAUUUGCCCAUACUACUGGGUAAGGCUAAAUACGUUGUGUGAUCGAUAGUGAACAAGUACCGUGAGGGAAAGGUGAAAAGAACCCCGGUGAGGGGAGUGAAAUAGUAACUGAAACCGUGUGCCUACAAAGAGCCGGAGCCUGUGCAACGCAAGUUGUAUCGGGUGACGGUGUGCCUAUUGAAGAAUGAUCUAACGAAUUUAUUCAACUAACGAAUUGUAAGUCCCUCUGGGACGCACAAGCAGGGAAACCGAGUGUUAAUAGCGCGUUUAGAACUUUCCACUGAGUACCUUUACGGGUAUUCGGUGGAAACGUUCUUAAGUUGGUUGAAUAAGACCCGAAGCGUGACGAGCUAACCUUGAGCAGGUUGAAGUAGUGCGAAAGCACUAUGGAGGACCGAACCCGUGGAUAGCGCAAUAUCUUGGGAUGACUUGAGGUUUGGAGUGAUAAGCUUAUCGAGUUACGUAAUAGCUGGUUCUCCUCGAAAUGCCUUUAGGGGCAGCGUCGUGCAGUAGCGAGGGGGGUAGAGCACUGAUUGGUUAGCCGUGCCCUUUUGGGUAGGCGUACCAAACAAACUCCGAAUACCCUCGUGGAAUGCGCGACAGUGAGACUGUGGGGGCAAAGCUCCAUGGUCGCAAGGGAAACAGCCCAGAUCGCAGAUUAAGGUCCCUAAAUCUAUGCUAAGUGUCAGAAGGAAGUGUGAUGCCUUAGACAGGUAGGAGGUUGGCUUAGAAGCAGCCAUCCUUUAAAGAGUGCGUAAUAGCUCACUACUCAAAGUUUUUAACGAGGCAUCAUGCGCCGAAAAUGUACCGGGGCUAAGCAUAGUACCGAAAUCGCGGAUGCUACUCUCUUCGGAGAGUGGCGUGGUAGAGGAGCGCUUCCAUUGCUGCGAAGGUGAACUGUGAAGUUUGCUGGAGCGAUGGGAGGUGAGAAUGUUAGAAUGAGUAACCGCAAGAGACGUGAAAGUCGUCUCCGCCGAAAGCCUGAGGUUUCCUCCGCGAUGUCAAUCAUCGGAGGGUGAGGCAUGACCUAAGGAUAACCAUGCUUUAGAGCAUGGGAAGCUGAUGGAUAGCAGGUUAAUAUUCCUGCCCCACAGACGUAUGCGAUGGGAGGACGGGAGAUACAAUGUCAGGCGCAUUAUUGGAUUUGCGUCGUUGUCUGUAGACCAAGGGGACCGGAAAAUCCGCCCCUAUACGGUCGAUGAAGACGGGAUCGCCGCAAGGCGGGACCUGAUAAAAGAGCUCUCCAAGAAAAGUCCCUAAGCUUAAUACGUAUGUGCAUGUACCGAAAACCGACACAGGUGGGCUGGUGUGAGUGCACCAAGGCGAACGGGUGAUUAUUGGUUAAGGAACUCGGCAAUAAAGCGGCCGUAACUUCGGGAUAAGGCCUGCCACACGCAAGUGUGGCCACAGCGAACGACUCUCUGCUAACUGUUUAUCUAAAACACAACUCCAUGCGAAGCCGAAAGGCGCUGUAUAUGGGGUGACGCUUGUCCGGUGUCGGAACGUUAACGGUGGAAGUGGUAUGGAUUUAUCUGUACUGCGGACGCCUGAAGCGCCGAUGAACGACGGCAGUAACUAUAACUGUCUAAAAGUAGCGAAAUACCUUGUGGGGUAAGUUCCCACGCGCAUGAAUAGCGUAAUGAGCGGAGAACUGUCUCAACCAAUAGCCCGGUGAAAAUGCAAUGUCAGUAAAGAUGCUGACUACCCGCACCUAGACGGAAAGACCCCGGAAGCUUUACUGCAGCUUGGUAUUGGUCUACGAGUUGUUAUACGUAGCAUAGUGGGGAGGAUUUGAAGCAUGGAUCUCGGUUCAUGUGGAUCCGCCAGUGAAAUACCCAUUUUAACGAUUUGUAGCUCUAACCAGUGGAACCCUAUAAGGGUAUACACGCAGAAAGUCUUCCCGAAGUAAUGAUCGGAAGUUUUUGCGUUGUAUCUUUGUAGGGUUCCACUGAGACAGUGCCUGGCGGGCAGUUUUGGUGGGGCACUAGCCUCCUAAAAAGUAAUGGAGGCGUUCAUCAAGGUUGGCUAGCUCCGGAUGGACAUCGGAGCGAUAGUGUAAAGGCACAAGCCAGCUUAACUGCAAGACGGAUGUGUCGCGCAGAUGCGAAAGCAGGACCUAGUGAACCGACACUUGCUCGUAGGAGCGGUGAAGAUCAACAGAUAAAAGCUACUCCGGGGAUAACAGGCUAGUCUUGGCCGAGCGUUCACAGCGACGCCAAGGUUCGGCACCUCGAUGUCGGCUCGCCCUAUCCUGGGACUGAAGAAGGCCCCAAGGGUUUGGCUGUUCGCCAAUUAAAAGGGUACGCGAGCUGGGUUCAAACCGUCGUGAGACAGGUUGGUCCUUAUCUGGUGUGGGCGUGAGGAUUUGAAGGGGGUUGUCCCUAGUACGAGAGGACCGGGAUGAACGCACCUCUGGUGUACCAGCUGUCGUGCCAACGGCACGGCUGGGUAGCUAUUGUGCGGUUCCGAUAAGCGCUGAAAGCAUAUAAGCGCGAAACGGGCCUUAAGAUUAGAUCCUAUUGAACUCGUGGAAGAUUACCACGUUGAUAGGGCGCAGGUGCACAUACAGUGAUGUAUUUAGCCGAGCGCUACUAAUUUGUUCAAAAUUCCAUCUUU
Molecule: ribosomal RNA, 3107 nt
Filed under: Minisyncoccota bacterium
Lineage: Bacteria; Bacillati; Minisyncoccota
Description: 23S ribosomal RNA
Rfam family: Bacterial large subunit ribosomal RNA
Source: RNAcentral